UCCUCCAUUGCUGUGCCCACUGGGUCUGCGUUCUGUCCCUGGCGAACAGAGAGCAUCUUCUGACAGCAGCCGCGACAGCAGGCGGUGAGGUGCAGAUCUAAAGGUCAUGCCACACUCCGGUACUCUCGGGGAUUGUUUUUAAACUAGCUGCCUCCUGGCCUCGGAUGUUCGCUGCAAAAGGGGGCAAAAAAAUUAAACGAGCGGCAAGAUUUUACCUUUUUUAGGCAGACGAUCUUCUGAAAAUGUUAGCUUUUUAUAAUGUGAAACAAGGCUGUGUCUUUCAGCUCCCAUGUUCCAACAGUUGGUGUGUUGAUUUUAUUCUUGAAAUAACAUGCUAAACAAUGGCAUAGGAUGCUUCGGACCACCCCUUUGGAUCAUCCUUUGCGGCUUCGCUCCAAGUUUCCUCGCUCUGGACCCCUGCACGUGCGUCUGGACAGAGUUUUGGUUUCGUUCUCGCCUGCCUGUGCACAGCCUGCUCAGCCCCUGCUCCUCCAAUCGCAUUCCGCCUCCCGCCUCCAGACCCGAGACUUUCAUCAGCUGACUGCGGACGUGUUGCAUUUUAGUCAUGUUAUCUUGCAAUCGAGUGAGUUUUUAUAAGGAAAACUUUGACUUGUCUGUUGCUCAUCAGUUAUAGACUACAGAAUGUUCCUUUUUUGUAAAUCAGGACCACCACCAUAUUUGUUUUACAUCUGAGGUACAAAUGGUAACUAGUUUUUCUUUAAUCUUGGUGACAAUGAUACAUUCUUAUUUUACAGUGUAAGUUAGCAGAGACAAAUACUGCGAACGGAGUGGAUCAUCUUUCUCAGAUUCGACCUUUCAACAUCUCAUCAGGAAUGUUCAGGGGUGUCAUGCAGGACCCCUUACUUACAAAGGAGGAGGUUCGUUGGGCAUGUGGUAUACUGUACAUCUUUAAAAAAGCUGAAUGCGAUAUUCAUUCUGGCUUUGGGAUACAUGCACAUACAUGCUCCUUUAGAAUCACAGCUACGGUUUUGCGGUUCUGUGGGGCUUUAUGAACAGUGAAGUGGAGACGUGGUGCUCUGUCACUCUGAAAUGCAUUUUGUUUUGCAAAAGAGGAAGAUCUGGUUUGACAGAUUUGCACUGUGGAAAUUAUUGUUUUUAUAUUUUACAUCGCUGUGUUUAAACAUCACAUAAAUGCCUACUUGAAUGGAUCCCUUCUGCUGCUCGCAAAAAAUCAUACGAUUUCAUACCAGCAUAGCUACACCACGCCCAUCAGGGGGCGGUCAUAGUAGUCUUGCGUAGUCCUGUUACACUUGGGUCAUGUGGUGUGUGUAAUCCCAUUCUUAUUAGACAGAGGCAGUGUGGAUUACAGGAUGGCAGUGAACCCAUUGCACGGAUCUCCCUUUGUUUAUUUUCUAUUAAAAUGUACCCUUCAUCAGUCACGGCCUUAAAGAGCAAACUAAUGAACAGUCACAGAGCUCACACGUUCCGCUUUCUCAGGACAAGGAUUUUGCACGCUUGAGCUGUUUUGAUUUUGAAUUGUUUUUUUUAUUUGGAGGUUAAAGCAGAAUAGAAUAAAGUUUUAUUUUUUAAGGAAUGGGUAAGGGGGCUCCACAGCCAAAAUAUUGGGUUUCUUUUACUUUCCUUUCAGUACAGAAUGAACCUUUACCUGUUCUGUUGCAGCCUGCGCAUGCUGACGCAGCUUCUUACUCGAAAGUUUGAUUUGGUCCCCUAACCUUUGCAACUAAAACCCAUUACAAAACUAAAGGCUCAUUGGAAGGGAGAGUUACAUCUCUACUAAUAGUCUUAUGUUUUAUAAAGUCCUGUUCAUUAUACAUCAAUUCAAGGUACUUUAAGACAUAACAAAAGGGAAAAGUAUUCAUAGAGCUAAUACUGUAAAUUAAACUACUAAAUACUAGAGUAUAAAUGUACAUUUUAAGACGGGAAUAAAAGAACAGGAAGAUCGAAAACAGACCUCAAAGACGAUAGUUAAUGAUAUGAAGGUACGCAGGAAAUUAAUCCUUUCAUGGUGAGCAGGAACAUUUAGAAUUUUAUUCUGAAAUAUAGAGGAAUAAUUCCUCACAGUUAUAUAGUGCUUUUCUGGACACUCCACUCAAAGCACUUUUACAGGUAAUGGGGAUCCCCUCCACCACCACCAAUGUGCAGCCCCACCUGGAUGAUGCGACAGCAGCCAGAGUGCACCAGUAUGCUCCCCACACACCAGCUCUCAGUGGGGAGGAGACCAGAGUGAUGAAGCCAGUUCAGAGAUGGGGAUUAUUAGGAGGCCAUGAUUAGUAAAGGCCAGGGGGAAAUUUGGUCAGGACAGCAGGGUAACGCUCAAGCUCUUUUCAAGAAAUGUCCUGCUCCUCAUUCAUAGGAAUGGCGCCUUUUUACAGCACAGUGUCCCCAUCACUAUGCUGGGGCAUUAGGACCCACACGGACUGCAGGGUGAGCGCCCCCUGCUGGACCCACUAACACCUCUUCCAGCAGCAAGCUUAGUUUUUCCCAGGAGUCUCCCAUCCAGGUACUGGCCAGGCUCACAGUGCAGAGCUCCAGUGGGCUGCCAGCUGUGAGCUGUGAGCUGCAGGGUGAUAUGGCUGCUGGCUAGAGAAAGCAGAGGAAGGAAGCUGAAGUAGCUUAUAUACAGUACGCUCUUGCAUUGAAGUUUUAGUUGAGAUCCAAGUAGUUCUGAAUGUGUUUGGAUAUACAGUAUGAAUAUCAACCUCUCCAAAAAAUAAAAUCCACAGUGUUUAACUGAUGUAUAACUACAGCUGUUCACAUUGACACUGUAUUCC
This 2753-nucleotide long non-coding RNA is filed under the name Lepisosteus oculatus (spotted gar). RNAcentral's name for it is "lncRNA (ENSLOCG00000021103.1)". Lineage: Eukaryota; Metazoa; Chordata; Actinopteri; Semionotiformes; Lepisosteidae. The record is from RNAcentral.